Molecule: unclassified non-coding RNA, 287 nt
Organism: Erinaceus europaeus (western European hedgehog)
Lineage: Eukaryota; Metazoa; Chordata; Mammalia; Eulipotyphla; Erinaceidae
Gene: 7SK
Rfam family: 7SK RNA
About the family: 7SK was discovered as an abundant small nuclear RNA in the mid-70s but a possible function has only recently been suggested. Two independent studies have found that 7SK RNA binds the CDK9/cyclin T complex (known as elongation factor P-TEFb).
Source: Ensembl
GGAUAUGGAGGAAACCUGCCUGCAGCAUCUGUCUCCCCACUAAUCACCAGGUUUGACUUGGAUCAUCUGGCUGGCUAAGGGACUGUCUCCUUCCUCCCUCACCACUCCAUGUGUGUCCUUCCUGAAGCAACAUGCUUGGUCAAGUAAGACAAACUACCCCAAACAAAGAAGGAUCUGUCUGAGUAACUGUAACAACUGUUAGAACGUCAAAACAAGCUCUCAAGAACUCAUAGUCUUCUGGGAGAUGGGAGGUAGCACAGUGGUUUAAGCACAUGUGGUGCAAGCAC